UGCGUAGGGGGCAAGCGUUGUCCGGAUUUAUUGGGCGUAAAGAGCGUGUAGGCGGCUUUACAGGUCCGUUGUGAAAACUCGAGGCUCAACCUCGAGACGCCGGUGGAAACCGUAAAGCUAGAGUCCGGAAGAGGAGAGUGGAAUUCCUGGUGUAGCGGUGAAAUGCGCAGAUAUCUGGAGGAACACCGGUGGCGAAGGCGGCAUCCUGGACCGGUAUUGACGCUGAUGCGCGAAAGCCAGGGGAGCAAACGGG
RNAcentral lists this ribosomal RNA (253 nucleotides) under uncultured bacterium. RNAcentral's name for it is "partial 16S ribosomal RNA". It matches the Rfam family "Bacterial small subunit ribosomal RNA", at positions 524 to 776 of the family's 1533-position model. The record is from RNAcentral.